Molecule: ribosomal RNA, 614 nt
Filed under: uncultured Bacillus sp.
Lineage: Bacteria; Bacillati; Bacillota; Bacilli; Caryophanales; Bacillaceae
Description: bacterial SSU rRNA
Rfam family: Bacterial small subunit ribosomal RNA
Source: RNAcentral
AGUCGAGCGGACAGAAGGGAGCUUGCUCCCGGAUGUUAGCGGCGGACGGGUGAGUAACACGUGGGUAACCUGCCUGUAAACUGGGAUAACUCCGGGAAACCGGAGCUAAUACCGGAUAGUUCCUUGAACCGCAUGGUUCAAGGAUGAAAGACGGUUUCGGCUGUCACUUACAGAUGGACCCGCGGCGCAUUAGCUAGUUGGUGAGGUAACGGCUCACCAAGGCGACGAUGCGUAGCCGACCUGAGAGGGUGAUCGGCCACACUGGGACUGAGACACGGCCCAGACUCCUACGGGAGGCAGCAGUAGGGAAUCUUCCGCAAUGGACGAAAGUCUGACGGAGCAACGCCGCGUGAGUGAUGAAGGUUUUCGGAUCGUAAAGCUCUGUUGUUAGGGAAGAACAAGUGCAAGAGUAACUGCUUGCACCUUGACGGUACCUAACCAGAAAGCCACGGCUAACUACGUGCCAGCAGCCGCGGUAAUACGUAGGUGGCAAGCGUUGUCCGGAAUUAUUGGGCGUAAAGGGCUCGCAGGCGGUUUCUUAAGUCUGAUGUGAAAGCCCCCGGCUCAACCGGGGAGGGUCAUUGGAAACUGGGAAACUUGAGUGCAGAAGAGGA